CGCAAGUCUCACGGACGACAUGAUGAUUUCAUAUUUAGUGGCGAUCGUAGCAGUUAUUAUCUCGUUCGCUGUCAAUUUAUACCGUGUAAGCAUUCUUAGAAUUUCUUCUGGCUACAAAUAAUAUGGACGAUUAUGAAAAUCUUUUCUUCUCUGGGAAUAUACUGCUAUUACAUUUUGUAAUCAUGUUCUUAAACAAUUAUAGUGGACAGAGAUUGAUAAACAGUAGUGUGCACAUUUUCGACAAAAUAUGCAAUUCGUUAUGGUACGCCUUACCAGUGAAGUCGCAAAAACUAUUACUAUUCAUAUUG
Non-coding RNA from Megalopta genalis, 308 nucleotides. Lineage: Eukaryota; Metazoa; Arthropoda; Insecta; Hymenoptera; Halictidae. The record is from RefSeq and is a predicted model, not a curated record.